RNAcentral lists this small nuclear RNA (65 nucleotides) under Sorex araneus (European shrew). The record is from RNAcentral. Lineage: Eukaryota; Metazoa; Chordata; Mammalia; Eulipotyphla; Soricidae.
UCGGAAGAUAAGCAUGGCCCCUCCACAGGGAUGACACACAAAUUCAUGAAAUAUUCCAUAUAAAU